Molecule: long non-coding RNA, 276 nt
Organism: Pipistrellus kuhlii (Kuhl's pipistrelle)
Lineage: Eukaryota; Metazoa; Chordata; Mammalia; Chiroptera; Vespertilionidae
Exons: 3
Source: RefSeq, a predicted model, not a curated record
CAGACGCAUGGCAGGCUCCCGCAGCCCACCCGCACGCCCUCACCGACCGCCCUGACAUGUAUCUCUGCCCGCGUCUGUCCGCGAGGCGGGGACAGGUCUUAUUCCUCUCUGCGUGCCCGGCACAGUGCCUGGCACACCCGCCGUGCCUGCUGAAUAUUUCAUGAACAAAUGAGACGUCGUAACACUUACCGCAGGUUCACAGGAGGACUGAUAUUCACACCCACCGGGCACACGGGAAACGCACGUGCUCGCCCUGAGGGGUGGGGAAACCCAUCC